GACGAACGCUGGCGGCGUGCCUAAUACAUGCAAGUCGAACGCAGUGGGGACGGGUGAGUAACAAGUGGGUAACCUCCCAUCAGAGGGGAUAACACUUGGCAACAGGUGCUAAAACCGAUACUGAUGGAUGGACCCGCGGUGCUUUAGCUAGUUGGUGAGGUAACGGCUCACCAAGGCGACGAUGCAUAGCCGACCUGAGAGGGUGAUCGGCCACACUGGAACUGAGACACGGCCCGGACUCCUACGGGAGGCAGCAGUAGGGAAUCUUCGGCAAUGGACGCAAGUCUGAUCGAGCAACGCCGCGUGAGUGAAGAAGGUCUUCGGGUUGUAAAACACUGUUGUUGGGGAAGCGGUAACGAACCAGAAAGCCACGGCUAACUACGUGCCAGCCGCCGCGGUAAUUC
This 404-nucleotide ribosomal RNA is filed under the name uncultured bacterium. RNAcentral's name for it is "partial 16S ribosomal RNA". It matches the Rfam family "Bacterial small subunit ribosomal RNA", at positions 28 to 526 of the family's 1533-position model. The record is from RNAcentral.